This 301-nucleotide ribosomal RNA is filed under the name uncultured bacterium. RNAcentral describes it as "partial 16S ribosomal RNA". It matches the Rfam family "Bacterial small subunit ribosomal RNA", at positions 509 to 809 of the family's 1533-position model. The record is from RNAcentral.
CAGCAGCCACGGGAAUACGAAGGGUGCAAGCGUUAACCGGAAUUACUGGGCGUAAAGCGCGCGUAGGUGGUUCAUUAAGUUGAAUGUGAAAGCCCUGGGCUCAACCUGGGAACUGCAUCCAAAACUGGUGAGCUAGAGUACGGUAGAGGGUAGUGGAAUUUCCUGUGUAGCGGUGAAAUGCGUAGAUAUAGGAAGGAACACCAGUGGCGAAGGCGACUACCUGGACUGAUACUGACACUGAGGUGCGAAAGCGUGGGGAGCAAACAGGAUUAGAUACCCCCGUAGUCCCUGUCUCUUAUAA